RNAcentral lists this ribosomal RNA (424 nucleotides) under uncultured eukaryote. RNAcentral describes it as "SSU rRNA". It matches the Rfam family "Eukaryotic small subunit ribosomal RNA", at positions 592 to 1018 of the family's 1831-position model. The record is from RNAcentral.
CAAUAGCGUAUAUUAAAGUUGUUGCAGUUAAAAAGCUCGUAGUUGGAUUUCUGGUGGGAGCGGUCGGUGCGGUCCUCAGGAUUGCUACUCGUACCGUCUCUCGCCAUCCUUGGGUCGAUCCUGUCUGGCAUUAAGUUGUCGGGCAGGGGAUGCCCAUCGUUUACUGUGAAAAAUUAGAGUGUUCAAAGCAGGCUUAUGCCGUUGAAUAUAUUAGCAUGGAAUAAUAAGAUAGGACUUUGGUACUAUUUUGUUGGUUUGCGCACCAAAGUAAUGAUUAAUAGGGACAGUUGGGGGUAUUCGUAUUCCGUUGUCAGAGGUGAAAUUCUUGGAUUUCCGGAAGACGAACUACUGCGAAAGCAUUUACCAAGGAUGUUUUCAUUAAUCAAGAACGAAAGUUAGGGGAUCGAAGACGAUCAGAUACCAU